This 20-nucleotide non-coding RNA is filed under the name Arabidopsis thaliana (thale cress). The record is from RNAcentral. Lineage: Eukaryota; Viridiplantae; Streptophyta; Magnoliopsida; Brassicales; Brassicaceae.
GGUCUUCAACACUUCCGAGA